This 500-nucleotide ribosomal RNA is filed under the name uncultured eukaryote. RNAcentral's name for it is "SSU rRNA". It matches the Rfam family "Eukaryotic small subunit ribosomal RNA", at positions 619 to 1122 of the family's 1831-position model. The record is from RNAcentral.
UUAAAAAGCUCGUAGUUGGAUUUCUGUUGAGAAUGUCCAGUCCGCACAUUGUGCGAGUAUUUGGUACAGUCUUGGCAUCCUCCUGGGGAGCGUUGAUGUACUUGAUUGUAUGUUGCGUGAUUCAGGACUUUUACUUUGAGGAAAUUAGAGUGUUCACGGCAGGCGUUUGCCUUGAAUAUGUUAGCAUGGAAUAAUAAUAUAAGACCUCGGUUUUAUUUUGUUGGUUUCUAGAAGCGAGGUAAUGAUUAAUAGGGACAAUUGGGGGUAUUCGAAUUAACGCGUCAGAGGUGGAAUUCUUGGAUUGCGUUACGACGAACUACUGCGAAAGCAUUUACCAAGGAUGUUUUCAUUGAUCAAGAACGAAAGUCAGGGGAUCGAAGACGAUUAGAUACCGUCGUAGUCUUGACCAUAAACUAUGCCGACUAGAGAUUGGAGGUUCGCUCUUUUUACGGCUCCUUCAGCAUCUUAUGAGAAAUCAAAGUUUUUGGGUUCCGGGGGGA